CUACUGACAUCGGGAGGUGUUGGGAUGGAUACUCAGAAGUCAGCCGAGGCUGUAGUAGUGCUUUUAACCGACAGCACGAAGGGC
This is a non-coding RNA of Rheinheimera sp. A13L, 84 nucleotides long. Lineage: Bacteria; Pseudomonadati; Pseudomonadota; Gammaproteobacteria; Chromatiales; Chromatiaceae. The record is from Rfam.